Long non-coding RNA from Drosophila gunungcola (fruit fly), 1625 nucleotides. RefSeq lists it as uncharacterized. The record is from RefSeq and is a predicted model, not a curated record. The transcript is spliced from 3 exons. Lineage: Eukaryota; Metazoa; Arthropoda; Insecta; Diptera; Drosophilidae.
AAGCAAACAACCGCAAAAAAGCCAUCAGCUAAAAAUAAAACUGCAACUUCCCGAGUGAAUCCAUGGUAAAAUAGUGAUAAAUCUGUGUGUCCAGUGCUUGUUUUAUUGUUCAUUUUAUUUGGCUUGCAAGAAAAGUUAUAGUUUUGAGUUUCUUUUGCCGUUAUUUCGCAUCGCGGAACUGGUUUGCACUUUGUAUCUUUUUAUCGUUGCACUUGUAUGGAUAUAAAGUGAAUAUGGGCCCUGCCGUUUAAACGCCGCCAUAAACACCAAAUAACAAAUUUUCUGGCCACAUUUUGUUUGUCAAGCAAACAUGGCAUGUCAAGGUCCUAUUAAACGUGGAAAAUCAGCCCAGAAAGUCGACACGCCAACUUUUUUCGACUGUCCCCAAAGUGAAGUGUGUCUGUCUGUGUAUGCAUGCCAUUGACAUUGACUUAUGGCCGUGAGGGGGUUAAGUGGGCUGAGGAGGGUUAAGGGGGGAGCUGAGGGGGCCACGACCCUUUGACAAAAAUUUGGAUUCUCUCAUUUCUUUUUCCUCUUUCGCCCUCCACGCACAUUUAUGGUUUGUUUUGCUCACACAUACACACAGCCAAAAGCCUACGCAGCGGUAGAAAGAGAAGGUCUGAGCGGUCGAGAAAGAGACGGGACGAGACUGGGAUGAUAAACGCCUCUUGCCUUUUUGGCGGGUCCAUGAAUGAAACAAUUGCCCCGAAUGACUGACUGCCAGACAGAUAGCUACAAACUGCCCAUUCCGGGGGGUAAAAUUGGGGCUGAAAGCCCGGAAACCCGGCAGCAAUAAACACGGUGCUACGACAAAAGUCUGAUGAGACAGACCAUCAUGGGCUUCAUCAUCGUCGGCGAUAAUAAUGAUUUUCAUUUGCACAUUCCACCCAUUUCGUUGCCGGCUUCCAGCCUCAGUUUGCAUUCAGUGGGGCAGGUUAUUUAUGGCAUUUCUCCCAUCGCCACUCACUGGGGUAAUCGAUUUUUAUUGGAUUAAUAUUGCUUUCCGCCUGAUUUGGCCUUCUCUUCGCUAUCAUUUACCAGGUUACUCGCUGAGGACUGAACCAAGUCAACUGGAAGUGCUGAAGCAAGGACAUGCAUAUAGCGGGCAUAAGGACACGUCUUAUGUGACAAGUGCUGGAUAAACGUCUGAGGUUAUCGCAUUUAUUUUCGAUUCUAAGGCCCAUCCCCGCCGGAAACUCCGGACAGCAGCAACCACCGAAUAGGACGCCCGGAAGUGAGGAAAACGCUUGUAAAAUUGGGCGCACGAGUGCGAGCGAGACACGAGCGAACGGGCCGAAAGGAAACGACAAUUACGAGGACAUGCCGGCUUGCCUUUCUGCUGUUCCUGUCUGCUCCUUUCAGUUGCGGCCGUGCAAUCGUCGGGUCAACAACGCCACGCGUCCGAUACGGAUCUACGAAAUAAUAUAUCUUCCACUCUGGAUCUAGCUUCAUCUGCAUCUGCAACUGCAUUGUCACAUUCGGAUUAUGGUGAUUCUGUGCGACCUCGUAAACGUAUACUGAAUGUAUCCUGAGUGUAUCCUAUCCGGUAUACCUUCAGUAUACGUAACACGAGGAAGCACGAGCAACGCGGGAUGUGAAACACUUUACUUCAAAAAUAUAUGAAA